UGUGGAUUCUGUGGGUUGCAGGGUGGGUCCUACCUAGACCAGGCUGAUCCUGGACCAUCCCACAGAUGUUCAAUCAGAUCUGGAUGUGGGGAGUGUGGAACCCAGAUGUUCAGAGGGAGAUGAUGCCACAUCUGGUCCAGCAGAUGGAAGGUCUUGAAGUUCUCUGACUGGCCUCGACUGAAGAUGGUCGUCUCACUGGAUUUAAGGUUCAGAUGCUCAGUAACAAACUCCACCAAUGAGCCAACAGGGAAGCUUUAGGUUUAUUAAAUGUUGCUAUGAAGGUAUCACUGUUUUUCUUUGUGAAUGCAAUGUGCUCCAACUGAAACUUGAAUUAGAACUUAGAAGUAAAUCCUUCCAUCUGAAAGGAUUUAGUUGCAUUAAUAACCUCAUAACAUUCUAAUUUUUAUUCCAGUCUUGGUUGGAAAUAGAAUCUCUGUAUUGAUUCAGUUAAAAACUGAACUUCACAGCACGUUGAAGCAAAACAACCAGAUGAAAACUGUGAUGGUGUUGGAUUGUCAGACCGUAAUGUUGCAGCUCAGAGCAGCUUUUCUAUCUCAGUUCAUUCUGACAUUCAGCUAUGAAUCAACACAGCAGAUGGUGAUCCAUGCUGUGGAAGUCUCACAUCUCCUGAUUUAAUGGAGCUGCUUUGCACUUUUUACACUGUUUAUUCACCA
This is a long non-coding RNA of Amphiprion ocellaris (clown anemonefish), 674 nucleotides long. NCBI's taxonomy places the organism in Eukaryota, Metazoa, Chordata, Actinopteri, Pomacentridae. The record is from Ensembl.